AAUGCCAGCUGAUGAAGACCGAGAGGCCGCGACCCAACACCUUUGUCAUACGCUGCCUGCAGUGGACCACAGUCAUCGAGAGGACCUUCCACGUGGAUUCUCCAGACGAGAGGGAGGAGUGGAUGCGGGCCAUCCAGAUGGUCGCCAAUAGCCUCAAGCAGCGGGCCCCAGGCGAGGACCCCAUGGACUACAAGUGUGGCUCCCCCAGUGACUCCUCCACGGCUGAGGAGAUGGAAGUGGCGGUCAGCAAGGCACGGGCUAAAGUGACCAUGAAUGACUUCGACUAUCUCAAACUCCUUGGCAAGGGAACCUUUGGCAAAGUCAUCCUGGUGCGGGAGAAGGCCACUGGCCGCUACUACGCCAUGAAGAUCCUGCGGAAGGAAGUCAUCAUUGCCAAGGUGCGUGCCCCGGGCACUGCGUUCGCUGGCCUCUGUGGGGGCUGCGGUCUGGAGGCUGACCCUGAGGCCUGGAUGCUUACCCACGCUUUCUGCUGCCGUGGGCAUAUUUCCCCCACAAAUUCCCCCUAGUCAGAAAAGGGUGAGCCUUAGGCCCAGAGAGGAGCAGCAGGCCUUGCUGCUGAGUCCCCACCUCCACCCUCUGGUGGGGGCUGAGGGUGCCUGUGGAGAGAGAGCCUCGGGGUCCCACCCAGCAGGUACUGUCAAGGGAGGCUGGGGCCUGUUGGGGAGGCUGUGAGGAUGUUGCUGUUGGGGAGACCAGGGCUCUGCUCAGGGUAUUCCAGGUAGAGGCCGGGCCAGGAAUGGAAUUCUAGUUUUUCCCUUAUUUGAAUUUUUUGUAGUGGAAGAUUCCAAAGACAUUCAAAAAUUUAAAAAGAAAAUAAAUAUUACGGACCCCCAUGUAGCCAUUGUCCAGUUUAACCAGUUAUCAGCGUUUAGCCAGCCUUGUUUCCUUAGCUCUGCCUGUCCCUCUUGUUCUGGAAUACUUUAAGGCCUGUCCUAGACA
RNAcentral lists this small RNA (960 nucleotides) under Pongo abelii (Sumatran orangutan). RNAcentral's name for it is "retained intron". The record is from RNAcentral. Lineage: Eukaryota; Metazoa; Chordata; Mammalia; Primates; Hominidae.